RNAcentral lists this ribosomal RNA (529 nucleotides) under Fusarium proliferatum. RNAcentral's name for it is "eukaryotic LSU rRNA". The stretch from base 143 to 296 matches the Rfam family "5.8S ribosomal RNA". The record is from RNAcentral. Lineage: Eukaryota; Fungi; Ascomycota; Sordariomycetes; Hypocreales; Nectriaceae.
UUCUACUCACUCCAACCCCUGUGACAUACCAAUUGUUGCCUCGGCGGAUCAGCCCGCUCCCGGUAAAACGGGACGGCCCGCCAGAGGACCCCUAAACUCUGUUUCUAUAUGUAACUUCUGAGUAAAACCAUAAAUAAAUCAAAACUUUCAACAACGGAUCUCUUGGUUCUGGCAUCGAUGAAGAACGCAGCAAAAUGCGAUAAGUAAUGUGAAUUGCAGAAUUCAGUGAAUCAUCGAAUCUUUGAACGCACAUUGCGCCCGCCAGUAUUCUGGCGGGCAUGCCUGUUCGAGCGUCAUUUCAACCCUCAAGCCCCCGGGUUUGGUGUUGGGGAUCGGCGAGCCCUUGCGGCAAGCCGGCCCCGAAAUCUAGUGGCGGUCUCGCUGCAGCUUCCAUUGCGUAGUAGUAAAACCCUCGCAACUGGUACGCGGCGCGGCCAAGCCGUUAAACCCCCAACUUCUGAAUGUUGACCUCGGAUCAGGUAGGAAUACCCGCUGAACUUAAGCAUAUCUAGAGAAGGGGGGAGGGGAA